This 492-nucleotide ribosomal RNA is filed under the name uncultured bacterium. Its description in RNAcentral is "partial 16S ribosomal RNA". It matches the Rfam family "Bacterial small subunit ribosomal RNA", at positions 29 to 507 of the family's 1533-position model. The record is from RNAcentral.
AGUGAACGCUGGCGGUAUGCCUAACACAUGCAAGUCGAACGGCAGCACAGUAAGAGCUUGCUCUUACGGGUGGCGAGUGGCGGACGGGUGAGGAAUACAUCGGAAUCUACUUUUUCGUGGGGGAUAACGUAGGGAAACUUACGCUAAUACCGCAUACGACCUACGGGUGAAAGCAGGGGAUCUUCGGACCUUGCGCGAUUGAAUUAGCCGAUGUCGGAUUAGCUAGUUGGCUGGGUAAAGGCCCACCAAGGCGACGAUCCGUAGCUGGUCUGAGAGGAUGAUCAGCCACACUGGAACUGAGACACGGUCCAGACUCCUACGGGAGGCAGCAGUGGGGAAUAUUGGACAAUGGGCGCAAGCCUGAUCCAGCAAUACCGCGUGGGUGAAGAAGGCCUUCGGGUUGUAAAGCCCUUUUGUUGGGAAAGAAAAGCAGCAGGUUAAUACCCCGCUGUUCUGACGGUACCCAAAGAAUAAGCACCGGCUAACUUCGUG